RNAcentral lists this ribosomal RNA (253 nucleotides) under uncultured bacterium. RNAcentral describes it as "partial 16S ribosomal RNA". It matches the Rfam family "Bacterial small subunit ribosomal RNA", at positions 524 to 776 of the family's 1533-position model. The record is from RNAcentral.
UACGUAGGGUGCGAGCGUUAAUCGGAAUUACUGGGCGUAAAGCGUGCGCAGGCGGUUCGUUAAGUCAGAUGUGAAAGCCCCGGGCUCAACCCCGGAAUUGCCUUUAAGACUGCAUCGCUAGAAUUGUGGAGAGGUAAGUGGAAUUCCGAGUGUAGAGGUGAAAUUCGUAGAUAUUCGGAAGAACACCAGUGGCGAAGGCGACUUACUGGACACAUAUUGACGCUGAGGUGCGAAAGCGUGGGAAGCAAACAGG